CCUACGGGAGGCAGCAGUGAGGAAUAUUGGUCAAUGGUCGGGAGACUGAACCAGCCAAGCCGCGUGAGGGAUGAAGGUACAGAGUAUCGUAAACCUCUUUUGUCAGGGAACAAAGGCGGGGACGCGUCCCCGGAUGAGUGUACCUGAAGAAAAAGCAUCGGCUAACUCCGUGCCAGCCGCCGCGGUAAUACGGAGGAUGCGAGCGUUAUCCGGUUUUAUUGGGUUUAAAGGGUGCGCAGGCGGUCUGUUAAGUCAGCGGUCAAAGCCCGGGGCGAAACCCCGGCCCGCCGUUGAAACUGGCAGUCUUGAGUUGGAGAGAGGUAUGCGGAAUGCGCGGUGUAGCGGUGAAAUGCAUAGAUAUCGCGCAGAACUCCGAGUGCGAAGGCAGCAUGCCGGCUCCACACUGACGCUGAGGCACGAAAGCGUGGGUAUCGAACAGGAUUAGAUACCCUAGUAGUC
RNAcentral lists this ribosomal RNA (459 nucleotides) under uncultured bacterium. RNAcentral's name for it is "partial 16S ribosomal RNA". It matches the Rfam family "Bacterial small subunit ribosomal RNA", at positions 338 to 795 of the family's 1533-position model. The record is from RNAcentral.